CAUCUAUAUCACUUGUAUGAUACAUACAUAAUGGCUACUCAAAGUGGUGUGUGAACACUUGCAAUUUCAACAUGGAGCAGGAUAGACAGCAAGGGAGAGGAAGAAAUCCAAGAGCUCGUGGACAAGGGGCCCGUCGGAGAGGUGGGCAUGGGCCCCGUCAAAGAGUUCAAAGAGGUGGGCAUGGGCACCAUCAAAGAGGUGGACAUCAGAGAGAGGGAGGCAGACGGCAGGGAACUGUUGUGUCUAAUGAAGUCUGGGCCAUCGUCGUUGACCAUGUGAAUUGACUGAAGACCCCAUGGUGGUGACCUUGGCCAUGUGCUGACCAACCAGCAGGAGUGCAAAGUGGUGGAAAUGGUGAGGGCCAGGAAUGACAUACGGCUGUCCGAAAUAAAGCAGGCCAUUGAGGAGAACGAUGACACCUCGCCAAUCAGCUUAACAACGAUUGCCCGCUUUUUGAAUAGGCACCAGGUAUCUAUGAAACACAUUUACCUGGUGCCUUUUGAGAGAAAUAACGACCGGAUGAAACAACUGCGGGCUGAGUAUGUUCAGAGGGUGACAGUGCUUGAUGCUGCUGUGAACCAUCACAAAUAUAUCUUUGUUGAUGAAGCGGGCUUCAACCUGGCCAAAACUCUGCAACUGCGGGCGGAACCUCAUUUUCCAACGGCGACUGUCCAAGUGCCUGGACAAUGUGG
This 692-nucleotide long non-coding RNA is filed under the name Salmo salar (Atlantic salmon). Its description in RNAcentral is "lncRNA (ENSSSAG00000084016.1, ENSSSAG00020081362.1)". Lineage: Eukaryota; Metazoa; Chordata; Actinopteri; Salmoniformes; Salmonidae. The record is from RNAcentral.